AAAGAGCUGGGGAUGUCGGUCAGUGUGAAGGUCCUGGGUUCGAAGCCCAGUACCCCCAACACAAAUGUGAUGACAGUGGACCCCCUCAGAUAGCUCAGGAGGACUCCUCACCCCAGAGCCCUUGGCUUCUCCCAAUCUGCAAAGCCCUGGGUGCCCCGGGCCGGAUCCCACACUCAGGUCCCAGUGGCAGGGGCUUCCCGACCCAUGCAGGUGAGGGUUCCGGGAAGGGAUGGAGGCAAAACUCUGGCCGGCCUGGCCAGGGGCUCUGAGCUCACCCCUGCCAGCGGUCACCCAGCAGCAGAGCAGCCUGGGAGGCCCCUGCAGCCAGGCCCCUGGGCUGCCACCCUGCCCUUCUCCUGCAGACCCUCAAGAACCGGUGGCUGCAGCAGUACAGCCAGGAAUCGGCCAACCCGGGGAUCCCCGUGCUCCUGGCCUGUGGCACCGUCUCCAGCACCUGUGGCCAGAUCGCCAGCUACCCCCUGGCUCUGGUGCGGACCCGAAUGCAGGCCCAAGGAGCCGCCAGAGCCGGGACUGACAGCCAGGUUGUUGGCGCAGAACGCGAUCCUGAAAAACGGGACCCUGAGCUGGCACAGCGAACACGGGAUGGCAGGCGUGCACCUGUCCCCUGGCGUGACCUACGACGAGCCCAGGCGAGAGCUGGUGGUGGCGAAGGCCGGAUUCUACAAGGUCUGCUUACACCUGCAGCUGACACAUGUGCUGCCAGCUGCCCGGAUCUCCGGCAAAGUCUCAAUGGCCCUGCACUUGGAGCCGCCACAGACUGGGGCCAGCGUCCAAGCUCCGGCCGUGGACCUGACGCCCCAGUCCUCCGUCUCAGCGCAAGCUUCCCACUGCCACCUACUGCAGGUGCCCAAGGACCAGCGACUCAGUGUCCACCUCGGCGUCUACCUGUCCGCUCAGUGGGGUGAGCACCAGGUCUGGCAGCUGGCCCAGUCUCCCCCUGCCACCAAGUUAGAACUCUUCCGAGUGGCCGCUGAAGUCCCAGACUGACUCCCCGUGAUGCCCGUCACGGGUACUGCCCACCUGCACACGGGUGCCUCCUGUUCUUCUUUGCUUGUGCCCGUGGUGCUAGGACAGGGCGCUCUACCUCAUGAGCCGGGCAGGGGUCCAGCGGUGCUGACCUCUCCUCCCCAGGACUCUGCCCACUCCCAAGUAUUUAUUCUGGGCCCGUGCUCAGAAAGCACACUUUAUAUGGAUACUUUGUAAUGCACUGCUAUUUAUUGAGCACUUACGGUGUGCCAGUCAGGUGCUAGAGAACCACUGGAAAAACAUGGAUCCCAAAUAGAAGGUUUUAUUUAUGUUAAUAUAUAUGAGAACUAUAUGCCCCUACCCCAUGGUGCAUCUAGAUUUUGCAUUAAACGUGCAUCUACCUAGUGAGCAGAAUUUGUUCACCUGAGAGUCGUCCUUGUCGCUGUUCCCUGAGGGUUUACUGAUGGCGGGUCAACGCUGCCUCCUCCUGGUUCCUUUUGUCCGACUUUCACUGUGCUAACGUGGAACCCGCAUAUUAAGCAGAUGCUGCACCACUGCUAAGCUACACCUCCGGUUUAGUCUCGUGGUGCAGGGGGAGGAGCCGAGGCCUUUGCCCUGAGCUCCGUCCUCAGCCCUUUGCAUGUGUGAGCCAGGAUGUUGCACAGUCACUCAACUGCCAGGUGGGGCAGGAACUUGGGACCCUGCUGCCUCAGCCUCCCAAGCACGGGGGCCACAGGUGUGUGCACCACACCGCCUGGCUUUUAGCAAUUCUUUUCGCACUCCUCAAUCCGUCCUGCCACGUAGGUGCCUAAAAUUCGCCGUGACAGUAUGGAGAAUGAAAUUUGUUGGCGGGGCGUGGUGAGAGUUGUCCGCAGUUGUCUGGAGAUGGUUGUCGAGUGUGUUCUCUACGUCACUGUUAGUUAUUUUCCUGGACACCAUGACAACUUUCCACUGUGGAAAGUCUGUGAGUUGCAUUUCACCGUUUCCUCGGAGGCCCUUGAGGUUGAGCCCCUGGUCGGAAACACCUAUAGCCGUUCUGGGUCGGCUGACGUCACUCUGGUGAUCCUGCAAUGAGUAGGAGUUUAUGGGAGGGGAAUCCUGAGGGCUGAGCUCGGGGCGUGAUGCCGUGGAGCUGUGGGAGGCGUGGACAUAGCCUAGAAAAUCCAGGAAGCCUGCUGAGUGUUACCCCUCGAUUACCUGACUCCGCUGGCUGCUGCAUCAAGUUGAAACGCGGGGUGCUCCCUGGAUUGUCUCAUCUUACUGCAUGGACUUGAGAUGGAAAACGAUUCCGGUCGGGAAACACACAAGUGGCACACGUGUGUGUGAAUAAAGUGAUUAUACGAG
This is a long non-coding RNA of Cavia porcellus (domestic guinea pig), 2331 nucleotides long. The record is from Ensembl. Lineage: Eukaryota; Metazoa; Chordata; Mammalia; Rodentia; Caviidae.